Molecule: ribosomal RNA, 380 nt
Filed under: uncultured eukaryote
Lineage: Eukaryota
Description: partial 18S ribosomal RNA
Rfam family: Eukaryotic small subunit ribosomal RNA
Source: RNAcentral
CAAUAGCGUAUAUUAAAGUUGUUGCAGUUAAAAAGCUCGUAGUUGGAUUUGUGGCGUACGGUGUGUUCCGGGCACUUGUUGUCUGAGUAACCUGCUGUUGCCAUCCUUGGGUGGAACCUGUGUGGCAUUAGGUUGUCGUGCAGGGGAUGCCCAUCAUUUACUGUGAAAAAAUUAGAGUGUUCAAAGCAGGCUUAUGCCGUUGAAUAUAUUAGCAUGGAAUAGUGAGAUAGGACUUUCUUGCUAUUUUGUUGGUUUGCGCAAAGAGGUAAUGAUUAAUAGGGACAGUUGGGGGUAUUCGUAUUCCAUUGUCAGAGGUGAAAUUCUUGGAUUUUUGGAAGACGAACUACUGCGAAAGCAUUUACCAAGGAUGUUUUCAUUAA